CCUACGGGUGGCUGCAGUGAGGAAUAUUGGUCAAUGGGCGCGAGCCUGAACCAGCCAAGUAGCGUGAAGGAUGACUGCCCUACGGGUUGUAAACUUCUUUUAUAAAGGAAUAAAGUGAGGCACGUGUGCCUUUUUGUAUGUACUUUAUGAAUAAGGAUCGGCUAACUCCGUGCCAGCAGCCGAGGUAAUACGGAGGGUACGAGCGUUAUCCGGAUUUAUUGGGUUUAAAGGGCGCGUAGAUGGGGACUUAAGUCAGUUGUGAAAGUUUGCGGCUUAACCGUAAAAUUGCAAUUGAUACUGGCAGCCUAGAGUACAUUAGAGGUAGGCGGAAUUCGUGGUGUAGCGGUGAAAUGCUUAGAUAUCACGAAGAACUCCGAUUGCGAAGGCAGCCUACUAAACUGCCACUGACAUUGAUGCGCGAAAGUGUGGGUAUCAAACAGGAUUAGAUACCCUAGUAGUC
RNAcentral lists this ribosomal RNA (460 nucleotides) under uncultured bacterium. Its description in RNAcentral is "partial 16S ribosomal RNA". It matches the Rfam family "Bacterial small subunit ribosomal RNA", at positions 338 to 795 of the family's 1533-position model. The record is from RNAcentral.